This 468-nucleotide ribosomal RNA is filed under the name uncultured bacterium. Its description in RNAcentral is "partial 16S ribosomal RNA". It matches the Rfam family "Bacterial small subunit ribosomal RNA", at positions 28 to 507 of the family's 1533-position model. The record is from RNAcentral.
GACGAACGCUGGCGGCGUGCUUAACACAUGCAAGUCGAACGGAAAGGCCCUGCUUUUGUGGGGUGCUCGAGUGGCGAACGGGUGAGUAACACGUGAGUAACCUGCCCUUGACUUUGGGAUAACUUCAGGAAACUGGGGCUAAUACCGGAUAGGAGCUCCUGCUGCAUGGUGGGGGUUGGAAAGUUUCGGCGGUUGGGGAUGGACUCGCGGCUUAUCAGCUUGUUGGUGGGGUAGUGGCUUACCAAGGCUUUGACGGGUAGCCGGCCUGAGAGGGUGACCGGCCACAUUGGGACUGAGGUACGGACCAGACUCCUACGGGAGGCAGCAGUGGGGAAUAUUACACAAUGGGCGGAAGCCUGAUGCAGCAACGCCGCGUGCGGGAUGACGGCCUUCGGGUUGUAAACCGCUUUCGCCUGUGACGAAGCGUGAGUGACGGUAAUGGGUAAAGAAGCACCGGCUAACUACGUG